UGGGGAAUAUUGGACAAUGGGCGCAAGCCUGAUCCAGCCAUGCCGCGUGAGUGAUGAAGGCCCUAGGGUUGUAAAGCUCUUUCACCGGUGAAGAUAAUGACGGUAACCGGAGAAGAAGCCCCGGCUAACUUCGUGCCAGCAGCCGCGGUAAUACGAAGGGGGCUAGCGUUGUUCGGAUUUACUGGGCGUAAAGCGCACGUAGGCGGACUAUUAAGUCAGGGGUGAAAUCCCGGGGCUCAACCCCGGAACUGCCUUUGAUACUGGUAGUCGUGAGUUCGAGAGAGGUGAGUGGAAUUCCGGGUGUAGAGGUGAAAUUCGUAGAUAUUCGGAGGAACACCAGUGGCGAAGGCGGCUCACUGGCUCGAUACUGACGCUGAGGUGCGAAAGCGUGGGGAGCAAACAGG
Molecule: ribosomal RNA, 404 nt
Filed under: Actinomycetes bacterium
Lineage: Bacteria; Bacillati; Actinomycetota; Actinomycetes
Description: Actinobacteria bacterium partial 16S ribosomal RNA
Rfam family: Bacterial small subunit ribosomal RNA
Source: RNAcentral